Non-coding RNA from Brachypodium distachyon (stiff brome), 104 nucleotides. Lineage: Eukaryota; Viridiplantae; Streptophyta; Magnoliopsida; Poales; Poaceae. The record is from RefSeq and is marked provisional.
UUCAACUGAUUUCCCUCCGUUUCAUAAAGAUUGGCACGGAUUUGAACUAAACCUAGUUUAAAGCCAUGCCAAUCUUUAUGGAACGGAGAGAGUACUUGUGUGUC